Molecule: transfer RNA, 76 nt
Filed under: Morganella morganii
Lineage: Bacteria; Pseudomonadati; Pseudomonadota; Gammaproteobacteria; Enterobacterales; Morganellaceae
Description: tRNA-Val
Rfam family: tRNA
About the family: Transfer RNA (tRNA) molecules are approximately 80 nucleotides in length.
Source: RNAcentral
GGGCGAUUAGCUCAGUUGGUAGAGCAUCUCCCUUACAAGGAGGGGGUCACUGGUUCGAGCCCGGUAUCGACCACCA